ACCAAAAAAGUAUCGUAAAUAAAUAAGAUGUAUUGUUUUGAUUUAUUUUUUUUACUCUAAUUUAUUUAUAUACAUAAUAUGUAAAUAAAUACAAAUAAAUAAUAAUAGAUAAAAGCUAUUUUUAUAUAUAAAAUUCAUUCCACGCAGGUUUUAAGCUAGUAUAUGGGUAAUAAUCAUAUAAUCAACUACAUCUGUGAAGUGUGAACUAGUUUUUUUGCCACGAUAGCCAAAUUGUGAGAUGAUAAAAGAAACAAAACAACUUUACUAUGCAUAUUAACUUUUGGACUUAUUUGCCAAAUAACCAAAAAAAAAGAGUAAUUAGAUUUUUAGUAAGAAGUUAGAGAGAAAUAGGAAGAUAAAUAAGGAGAGAGAGAGUUUUUUGGUUAUAUAAGGUUUGUUUUUUUUUUUUUAAGGUUAUAGGGGCAAAUUUUCCUUCAUUAAAUUUUUAGAGUCACUUUCAAGUUUCAUCUGUUGUCCAAAAAAAAACUCACUUUUAUCUUUGUUCUAAACAUAAAUUUUCAUUAAACAUAUAGGAAGAAUCCCAAUCCCGAAUUAAUAUCAUUAGAUUUUGUCUAUAACAAUUUAUUUUGAUGAUAUUUAAAAGUAAUUACUUUUUCCAAACAACUUUUUGGACAACUCAAUCCACACAAGUUAUCUCUGAUCACGGUUCCACGUUAAAUCACUCUGUUAAUCGCCAACAAGAAGCAAUUUAAUGUGUAACGCAGUUUCUUACGUAUAAUACUGCAAACAGACUUUGGUUCUCUUCUCCAAUCGGUUAUUACACAUUUGCACACAUAAGUAUGUUCUCACUUGUAUCAAUCAGCAUUUAAGUAUGUUUCUUAAUGUAGUAAAUAUGAAAAACAGAAGCUAAUACCUUGCUUGUAUCAUGUUAAGGAGAGAUCAAUACUGUUCUGUUAUCUAUACUAUAUUAAAAGGGUUAUAUGAGGAGUAGAGAGGCUGUCCACGUCAGACUAAAAAUUCAACCUAUCAUAAAUCAUCUUUUUGCCAUGUCAUCGUCGAAAUUGGUCUUUUAUUUUUGGGUUUCUUAGCAUUUUAAACAGCCCGAUUAAGCCCAAAUGCAAGGGUCUGAAGCAUAAUUUUCCGUUCUUAUCCGACUAUCUCACGUUGUAGUCACCGAUCAAAUUCUUCACUUCUCCGUUACAGUAACCCACAAUUCAUCAAUCUAAGUCUAUCUUAAAUGGUUUUGUUCCAUCUCCCCUUAUAUCUCCUUAUAUAUAAAGUGCUCCAUCUGAUCUUCAAUCAACCCUAAUUGAAAAACUUCACUAAAGAAGUUGCAGCUACUGCCAUGAAAUCCACCGGUAAGUCUCCCGUCACAGCGUCACCACCAGCAUGUCUAUCGUCGCCACGGGAACCAGCCGAAUCUUGACUCCGUUUUCGGUUAGUCAAUUUCUUAGAGGCUAGAAACUUUGCUAAAGGUCGGACCUUUAUUGGGUUAGAGCUCCUGCUCAUCCAUGAACAGGUAUGAAUGCUUAUCCCCAACUUUUAACGAGUAUGAGAUUGGUCCACUUCCUGGCCUCUAUCUCCACUUCAACAAACAGAACUGUGAUGAAUGUUUACUUGUGGGACAAGGCCGCAAAUGAAUUCUACUGCAAAUUCAACGACACCCUUGAAACUCCUACGUCCUUUUAGUGACAACCGUGAAUACUAAACAUAUUGGAGGUAAUCAAUUCCCUUCUUAUUAGUUAGUGUAUGGUAUAAACAUAGACUCCCCAUUUGUUGGCCAGACCUUAGCUAUCUUUUCUAUAUUCCAUUUGUUAACCCAUCUUUCAAAGCCACAGGGAACGUUGCCCUCAGCUACAUUGAUAAACAUGUACCUCCCACAAAUGAGUAUCUCUCCUGGUGUACAAUCCGGUCUCAUUCAAAUUUAUUGUUGUGAACUCCAUCUGAUUCAAACUAUAUGUAUAAGGUUGGCUCAAACCCAGACGUUUCUGCCGUAGCUAAUGCGUCCGAGGUCACCAAGGUUGCGAAAAUGACAGUUGCUUAGAUCGUUGCGUUUCCGAAACAUGAACCCACUAAGUUACUUUCUAGAAAAAUAACCAUACAUACUUACCAGGUUUAAUGCUAACUGUUUACGAAUUUCCGGCAGGUACCAUUGAUGAUGUUGAGAGGGACUCUAACUGGUACUACAUUGCAGGCAGUGACUGCCAAACUAAAGUGAACAGAGGUUCGACUUCACUGAUAUGCCCAAAAUGUGGAAAUGUGAAGGCUACUGGAGUUGAAAAGUACCGCAUUGAGCUGUCCGUCUAUGACAAUGACGAUAAGGCCAGUUUUGUGCUACUUGGCGAUGCUGGUCCUGAGCUCACGGGAAGGCAGGCUCAGAUUUAACUGACAACUAUUUUCAGGUCACUUUAAAUAUUCUUAAUUCACGUCCGCUGUUGUGUAGUCUCUGUAGCACCUUUUGUGAAUGCUAGGUAAUGUAGACAUGGGUGUUCAUUAUGAGAAGCCAACUCAAAAAAAGUCUUCUGUUUACCAUUGGCCAAACCCGCAACUUCAGAGUGAAGGUCCCAGACUACAAUUUCACAACGAAAAGCAGACCAUAUCUGUCACUUAGGUAGUCUCUCUUGCUGUCCUGCAAGCUGUAGCACAUGCCGUGUAGAUACAAGUCAGCGCAGGCGAUGAUAGCAAGCCAAUUCUAGGGGAAAGUGUUGCUUCAAAGUCUUCCUUACAUUUAACCUGCUGUGCAAGUUCUUCUGGUGAGGCAUGUGCCCCAACUAAUGUCAGCGAUGAGAAGAAAGAAGCCAAGCAUGCAAGACUUAGUAACUAAAAGCUCUCAAAUUCCACUUACCUACCCCAUAUUUAGAGGACGAGCUUUGGAAGAACUCAGAAGCUCUCCAUUCAACGAGCUUAUAUCAUUUUAAGGACAUGAGCGGCAACAAACAUGGUUUUAACAUUACUGUCUAUAUUAUAUGUGUUGGUUAGCAGAUAUCAUGGCGACAAUGAUGACAAAGUUACUAAGACUAAGUACUGUGUCUGGUAAGUUUCAACACAAGAUGCGACAAGCAACACCUUACUCUGGUGGGAGAUUGCUGGAUACCCUGAUGUUCCAGUCACAGUAGGAAGCUCCGAACCCUUAAAAUGGGAUUCCCCCUGUAGCUGAUUUUGUGCACGGUAAAAAUGGGCAAGGAGAUGUCUCUCUUCCUCUGAGUAGAAAAAAAUGUGACAAAAAUGCAGUUCAGUUUCGUAGAGAGGGUCUCUGACUAUCUGGGUAAAGUCACCAUUCUUUCCGUCGGACCACUGAUCAAUCUUGCAAUAAUAUAUGGUGACCCAGAAGCAGCUGGUGUUGGGUUCAUAUCUGGAGCUGAUAUCACUGUUGGGAUAAACAUCAGUACCCAACUUAAACUAACAGAUGAUGACCUCUUAGCGUUGCGUAACUCCAAGGGAAACGCACAAGAUUGAGUGUGCCUCCAUGACCCGCUGAGCUUUGUGGAAGCAGUACGGCCUGAUCUAUUCAAAUAUAAGAAAGGGUUGUCCGAGUGGGGACUCAGGGAAUAUGCGUCGGCUACAUGCUCAUGGAUCAAGCCCUCAAGCGGUCUUAUUAUGUAAAUUGUAAUCUUCACAGAAAAAGAAAGAAUCAUAGAUGGAACAGGAGCAAUGAGCAAUCCAUGGGUGAGAUUUUCACCAAUAUCUGUGGCGUGGACAAUAAAUGUAGACAAAGUUUUGGAAUAUAUAAAGUGUUGGUGGUGAAUCUUAAUUCGAAUCUUAAUUCAAGGUCUGUA
Molecule: RNA transcript, 3737 nt
Organism: Brassica napus (rape)
Lineage: Eukaryota; Viridiplantae; Streptophyta; Magnoliopsida; Brassicales; Brassicaceae
Gene name: uridine nucleosidase 1-like
Exons: 8
Source: RefSeq, a predicted model, not a curated record